CGCAGACGUUUAAGGCACGUUUAUACCAGUUCGACGCUUGCUUUCAUGCAGUUCUUCUAGCGCUACCAUUGUCAUCCAAGCUGUCAAAAGCCAAAGGCGCAUUGACAGCGCAAAUACAAAUCGUAAAAUAAACAAACAAAACCGCUUUGUGAUAUUUUACAUUUUAUUACUAAAACCAGUUGUUAUUCGUUGGGAUAUCAUCGUAUCCAUUUUGUUCGAGCAUUUUGCUGAAAGGAAAACAUAAAGGAAAAAUGUCCCGGGAAUCGGUAUCUCAGGCACCGGAUUGUUCGCUUCUUGCGUUGGCGGCUAGGUUGGCACAGUUAACGAAUAAAUCCUGUCCGCCAGUAUCGUCAGUAUCAAAGCUACUGCAGAACCGUCAUCCUUCUAUAGGAUUAAAAAUAAUGCUUUGAUGGAAACUUCAGCUAAAAUCUCCAAGCCAGCAACUUCCAGAACAGCGCAAUCCAUCAUCAUUCCAGUCCGAUUAACUGUGAAUAGAUUUUCGCAGCAAAUAGCAUCACCACCGGCAGCUUAUAAUUCUGAAAUAAAAAAGAAAAAAGGUUAUCGACCAACACCUGUAGUUAAAAAUCCAUCCAAUCCCGAACCAGCAUCAAACAUCAUCAAAGAUAUCUUCUUCAUACAGCAUAACACUGCCAGGGUUUGGAACUUCCUCCUUAUCCUCUUCCCUUGGUCCAAAGUAGUUCGGCAUAGUCCAUAGGCCAUCGUCAGUCCAGGUUGGCAUUGUCCACCGGUGUGUUCGUACCUUGUUUUCCUCCUUCCCAACCAAACCCAGUAUCGCGUGCAGAAGCUGAAAUUAAAACGUAAAGGAAAAAAUGUCUCGGGAAUCGGUAUCUAAGGCACCGGAUUGCUCGCUUCUUGCGUUGGCGGCUAGGUUGCCACAGUUAACAAUUAAAUCCUGCCCGCCAGUAUCUACCGUUAAAGCUUCCCAGCAAACAACAUCACCAUCGACAGCUAAAACAGAUAAAAGCAUAUCCCAUAGUCACAAAAACAGAAAAAAUAUAACGCCCAACACCUUUAGUUAAAAAUCCAUGCAGUAACAACCAGCAUCGAACAUCUUCAAGGUUACCUGUAUAUAGUAUAACACCAUCCAGCAUCGCUUCAGCACCACCGACAGCUUGCCUUCCUGAGAAUGUAGGA
Anopheles moucheti is the source of this 1155-nucleotide long non-coding RNA. RefSeq lists it as uncharacterized. The record is from RefSeq and is a predicted model, not a curated record. NCBI's taxonomy places the organism in Eukaryota, Metazoa, Arthropoda, Insecta, Diptera, Culicidae. The transcript is spliced from 4 exons.